Molecule: long non-coding RNA, 342 nt
Organism: Bos indicus x Bos taurus (hybrid cattle)
Lineage: Eukaryota; Metazoa; Chordata; Mammalia; Artiodactyla; Bovidae
Source: Ensembl
UACCCAGCUCGGGGGCAUUACGCCAGGGUGCCUGGCUUCCCCCGCAGGCCCUGGCAUCCCUCUGGGUACCAGGAUGCCGAGGUGGGGACACAGGAUGCAGAGGGGCUCUGGCCUGCUGAGUGGAGUCAGUUCAGCCCAUUCCCGUCCACCACCUGGAAUGUGGAUUUCGCUCCAGAAAAACUCAUCUGAAAAAGUUCUGGAUCCUGGCUGCAUCUCGCUGUUGCUGGUCAUACUGGAAGCCUGGAGUUCCAGAAGCUUCUCCAUGGUUCUGUGUGGAAUGAGGCCCAAACCAGCCUUUCCUUUUGGAGAAGUAAGUAAAUGUGAUUUCUGAGUCCCUUAUCU